UACGUAGGGUGCAAGCGUUAAUCGGAAUUACUGGGCGUAAAGCGUGCGCAGGCGGUUGUGCAAGACAGAUGUGAAAUCCCCGGGCUUAACCUGGGAACUGCAUUUGUGACUGCACGGCUAGAGUGUGUCAGAGGGGGGUAGAAUUCCACGUGUAGCAGUGAAAUGCGUAGAGAUGUGGAGGAACACCGAUGGCGAAGGCAGCCUCCUGGGCCAGCACUGACGCUCAUGCACGAAAGCGUGGGGAGCAAACAGG
RNAcentral lists this ribosomal RNA (253 nucleotides) under uncultured bacterium. RNAcentral describes it as "partial 16S ribosomal RNA". It matches the Rfam family "Bacterial small subunit ribosomal RNA", at positions 524 to 776 of the family's 1533-position model. The record is from RNAcentral.